Molecule: ribosomal RNA, 430 nt
Filed under: Bacillota bacterium
Lineage: Bacteria; Bacillati; Bacillota
Description: Firmicutes bacterium partial 16S ribosomal RNA
Rfam family: Bacterial small subunit ribosomal RNA
Source: RNAcentral
UAGGGAAUCUUCCGCAAUGGACGAAAGUCUGACGGAGCGACGCCGCGUGAGCGAAGAAGGUCUUCGGAUCGUAAAGCUCUGUUGUUAGGGAAGAAGAAGUGCCGUUCGAACAGGGCGGCACGGUGACGGUACCUAACGAGAAAGCCCCGGCUAACUACGUGCCAGCAGCCGCGGUAAUACGUAGGGGGCGAGCGUUGUCCGGAAUUAUUGGGCGUAAAGCGCGCGCAGGCGGUCCCUUAAGUCUGAUGUGAAAGCCAACGGCUUAACCGUGGAGGGGCAUUGGAAACUGGGGGACUUGAGUGCAGAAGAGGAGAGCGGAAUUCCACGAGUAGCGGAGAAAUGCGUAGGGAUGUGGAGGAACACCAGUGGCGAAGGCGGCUCUCUGGUCUGUAACUGACGCUGAGGCGCGAAAGCGUGGGGAGCAAACAGG